AUUGAACGCUGGCGGCAUGCCUUACACAUGCAAGUCGAGCGGCAGCGCGGGGGCGACCCUGGCGGCGAGCGGCGGACGGGUGAGUAAUACAUCGGAACAUGUCCUUUCGUGGGGGAUAACCAGUCGAAAGACUGGCUAAUACCGCAUGAGAUCUCACGAUGAAAGCGAGGGACCGCAAGGCCUCGCGCGAUUGGAGCGGCCGAUGUCGGAUUAGCAGUUGGCGGGGUAAAAG
This 232-nucleotide ribosomal RNA is filed under the name uncultured bacterium. Its description in RNAcentral is "partial 16S ribosomal RNA". It matches the Rfam family "Bacterial small subunit ribosomal RNA", at positions 30 to 263 of the family's 1533-position model. The record is from RNAcentral.